RNAcentral lists this ribosomal RNA (293 nucleotides) under Aspergillus tamarii. Its description in RNAcentral is "partial 18S ribosomal RNA". It matches the Rfam family "Eukaryotic large subunit ribosomal RNA", at positions 375 to 664 of the family's 3401-position model. Lineage: Eukaryota; Fungi; Ascomycota; Eurotiomycetes; Eurotiales; Aspergillaceae. The record is from RNAcentral.
UUUGAAAAGAGAGUUAAAAAGCACGUGAAAUUGUUGAAAGGGAAGCGCUUGCGACCAGACUCGCCUCCAGGGUUCAGCCGGCAUUCGUGCCGGUGUACUUCCCUGGGGGCGGGCCAGCGUCGGUUUGGGCGGCCGGUCAAAGGCUCCCGGAAUGUAGUGCCCUUCGGGGCACCUUAUAGCCGGGAGUGCAAUGCGGCCAGCCUGGACCGAGGAACGCGCUUCGGCACGGACGCUGGCAUAAUGGUCGCAAACGACCCGUCUUGAAACACGGAACCAAGACUCGGGUCGUUUGC